RNAcentral lists this ribosomal RNA (253 nucleotides) under uncultured bacterium. RNAcentral describes it as "partial 16S ribosomal RNA". It matches the Rfam family "Bacterial small subunit ribosomal RNA", at positions 524 to 776 of the family's 1533-position model. The record is from RNAcentral.
UACGUAGGGUCCGAGCGUUGUCCGGAAUUAUUGGGCGUAAAGGGCUCGUAGGCGGUUCGUCACGUCGGGAGUGAAAACUCGGAGCUUAACUCCGAGCCUGCUUCCGAUACGGGCAGACUAGAGGUAGGCAGGGGAGAGCGGAACUCCUGGUGUAGCGGUGGAAUGCGCAGAUAUCAGGAAGAACACCGGUGGCUAAGGCGGCUCUCUAGUACGGUACUGACGCUGAGACGCGAAAGCGUGGGGAGCGAACAGG